Long non-coding RNA from Oreochromis niloticus (Nile tilapia), 1511 nucleotides. RefSeq lists it as uncharacterized. The record is from RefSeq and is a predicted model, not a curated record. The transcript has 6 exons. NCBI's taxonomy places the organism in Eukaryota, Metazoa, Chordata, Actinopteri, Cichliformes, Cichlidae.
ACACAUCUGAGUGGUCUAAUUGCUGUGAAUUGACACCGGUUACAGUCCAUAAUGGGAGCUUGGGAGUCUUUCCUAACCGCAGUUCAUUCAGCCGCCCCUCGCUGCAACUUAACUGCCCUUAAAAUGUCUGAUUGCAACAUGGGAGCUGUGGGGCGAGACAGGAUUAUCAGUCUUUGUUGUGUGACUGUGUCUAUUAUCCUGACCUCUAUUCACAAUGGGCCCUUAGGAGUGUCGCUUCCAGCCACACAGCAAACUACCCCAUACCCGACAAACAACAAGUGAAUCAGAGAUCUCCCCCUGUCCCAAUGCUCUAGACACUUACAGCUCCAACACUUGGCAAAGCGCACCACUGCAGGCCGAAUUAGUGGAAGGAGCUUUAUGUUCAUACAUGUGGAAUUUCAUCAUAGCAAUUCAAUAAAGGUUGUAAUGGUCCUUGAAUGGCUGCUAGGACCCGUACAGUUCAUACCUCAGCACUAAAGCAGGAGACGGGUUGGUCUAAGGUCCCGUUGCGAGGCACUGGUAGAUAAAGCACACUCCAGACAAUGGCCUGUUCUGCUCAUGCAGAUGAUGGUGUGCAAUAUCAAAGCCAAAUGAGAUGGCUGCCAAUUAGGGAGGGCUUCCAAGUGCAUUUCAAUGCAAACUCGCACCGCUUUUGCAGCUGGGCUGCCCUGCCUCACUUGGAUGCAUCAACAAAGCUUGAAGUGGCCACUCUAAUCUGGAAACUCUGUUUGGGCCAUGCAUACAGGAACUGCUGACACGGAAAGAUUUAGCUAUUAUAGCAUAUCAUUACAUGAAUAAAAUAUGCAUAUGAUUACAUGAAAAAGUUUGUUCAAUGAUUCUUCAAUUUGGGUUUGUUGGGAUAGAAGGGGGAGGGGGCGCGCAGCAGGCUUUGUCAAUACCUUGCAAAGUAAUAGGCCGAUGACCUGGGUUAAUAAUUAACACCAAAAUUACAAAAAGCAGUUUGGUAAUUUUUCAAUAGAGAACUGUAUAGCUUCAUGGGUAACAUAAGCUUUCAGACACCGAGAAAGAAUAACAAGAACUACAAUAAUUGCACUUAUAACUUCUUUGUGGUUGCUUUUUGUGCUCUGCAUUGUCGUGCACGUUCUCCUGACUCUUGGGGCUUCAAAACACGUUUCCUUUUUAUCUCAUACGUUCUGGUCAUUUUCUUGAAACAGUAAGGACCUGCGGUGGUAAGAAAAUCAUUUAUGACUUCCUAUGUCCUGGCCAGUCCUCCAGGGGUCCUGCACAGUGUCAGGGGAAUGUAGAUGAGCCCACCUCAGCAGACUCCUUUUUGCCAUUUUUUUUUUUUCUGAUAGACCUGCAGAUGGGUUCUUGUGCACUCAGACCCCCAACGGGACCCUUUAUCCUUGCUCUAAAAAUGACCAUCUGAGCUCCUCAUCAUAGCCGGUUCAAGAGAGGGUGAGGCCUUUUUUCAACCCAUCAUGUUCCUGUUGCCCAGAAACAUUUCUGAUUUACAUGUACUGCCUAAAAUUAAACAUUAUUCAUCUGUU